This 72-nucleotide transfer RNA is filed under the name Amphiura sp. JN-2020. RNAcentral's name for it is "tRNA-Leu". It matches the Rfam family "tRNA". Rfam says of the family: Transfer RNA (tRNA) molecules are approximately 80 nucleotides in length. Lineage: Eukaryota; Metazoa; Echinodermata; Ophiuroidea; Amphilepidida; Amphiuridae. The record is from RNAcentral.
GCGGAAAAAGUUAAAGUGGUCUAACAGGGAACCUAAAAUUCCUGAGACGGGGUUCAAUUCCUCUUUUUAGCA